GCUACUCCUCCACUGUCUACACGCAAGCACAAGCACGAACGCAAGCUCCCGGCGUUUCCCCAGAUUGAGCACUGUGGUUGGCUGUCUGGUUGUCGUAACACAGGAGACAUCAAUUGGACGAUCGGGACACCAUGGGCAUCAAAUUCUUGGAAGUGAUCAAGCCAUUCUGCGCAGUUUUGCCAGAAAUCCAAAAACCUGAAAGAAAGAUCCAGUUCAGAGAGAAAGUUCUAUGGACAGCCAUCACUCUCUUCAUCUUCCUCGUCUGCUGCCAAGUGAGUUUACUU
Molecule: long non-coding RNA, 284 nt
Organism: Hippocampus comes (tiger tail seahorse)
Lineage: Eukaryota; Metazoa; Chordata; Actinopteri; Syngnathiformes; Syngnathidae
Exons: 3
Source: RefSeq, a predicted model, not a curated record